AGUGCUUUUUUGGUGUUGCUGACGAGACGCUGAUCAUGUGACGAUCAAAUCAAAUGCCCACUUGUGCUGCCACUGGACAGCGAAAACACAAGUUGGGAACCAGCAUGCAGCCAGAAAGGUAAAGAACCAUUCGUCCGCCAGCUCUGGGACAAGCUACACUAUUCACAGCCCUGUGUAAUGUUCAAUAAGGUGUCUGACUUUAUUGUAAGUGCAGCGUCAUAUGAUAUAGAGUCUUUAUGGAUGUGUUAUGAAUGACCAAAGGUGUCUGACGU
Long non-coding RNA from Coregonus clupeaformis (lake whitefish), 272 nucleotides. RefSeq lists it as uncharacterized. The transcript has 3 exons. The record is from RefSeq and is a predicted model, not a curated record. NCBI's taxonomy places the organism in Eukaryota, Metazoa, Chordata, Actinopteri, Salmoniformes, Salmonidae.